UGUGAAAAGAAAGUAACUGAGCAGGGAAGGAUUGUUAAUGACUAAUCUGUGUCCAUGAGGCACAGAGCCAAGGAAGAGAUGCUGCUGCUAGCCCAGAAGGCCGCCUGUGAUCAUGCACAGUACACUGGAACUCUCUCCUCCUCCUCACCUCAUUGUCUCCCCGACUUAUCCUAAUGCGAAAUUGGAUUCUGAGCAUUUGUAGCAAAAUCGCUGGGAUCUGGAGAGGAAGACUCAGUCCAGAAUCCUCCCAGGGCCUUGAAAGUCCAUCUCUGACCCAAAACAAUCCAAGGAGGUAGAAGACAUCGUAGAAGGAGUGAAAGAAGAAAAGAAGACUUAGAAACAUAGCUCAAAGUGAACACUGCUUCUCUUAGUUUCCUGGAUUUCUUCUGGACAUUUCCUCAAGAUGAAACUUCAGACACUUUGGAGUUUUUUUUGAAGACCACCAUAAAGAAAGUGCAUUUCAAUUGAAAAAUUUGGAUGGGAUCAAAAAUGAAUCUCAUUGAACAUUCCCAUUUACCUACCACAGAUGAAUUUUCUUUUUCUGAAAAUUUAUUUGGGCUUCUCAGACUCCCCUGGAGUCCAUCCAUGUGUUCUCAUUUAAGAACUCGUCCCUAAACUUCCAUGGAGAACCGUCACAAAGGAAUCCUAAUUCUCAUACUCUUUGAUAGGCUAAUUCCAAAAUAAAGAUUCCUAAAUCUAAAUUUUAAUAUGUAUUUUCCCUUUUAAAUUGUAUCAAAAUAGAAAUAAAUUUACCUUUUCAGAAAGCAUACUCUAAAUUAAAGUCGAACUACCUCUACUCCCUCCACAUCUUAUUUUCUGCCAAUGUUGUAUUUGUUUACUUGUUUACUUAUUUUUGUCCUAACCCUUGACAUCCCCACUUCCCAAAACACACAAACAAGAGAAAGGCUGGGCCUUCGUAUGUGUCUUUUCACUUUCAUAUGUUCAGAC
RNAcentral lists this long non-coding RNA (948 nucleotides) under Homo sapiens (human). Its description in RNAcentral is "HSALNT0370082". The record is from RNAcentral. Lineage: Eukaryota; Metazoa; Chordata; Mammalia; Primates; Hominidae.